RNAcentral lists this transfer RNA (77 nucleotides) under Coccinella septempunctata (seven-spotted ladybird). RNAcentral's name for it is "tRNA-Ile". Lineage: Eukaryota; Metazoa; Arthropoda; Insecta; Coleoptera; Coccinellidae. The record is from RNAcentral.
UUUGUGUUAGUAAAUCCUUAACUUAUUGUUUAGAUUUUACUCAUAGUUAAUUAAAAAUAGUAUUAUAUUCAAUAAAA